This 83-nucleotide non-coding RNA is filed under the name uncultured Sphingobacterium sp. RNAcentral describes it as "TPP riboswitch (THI element)". It matches the Rfam family "TPP riboswitch aptamer (THI element)", at positions 6 to 96 of the family's 105-position model. Rfam says of the family: Vitamin B(1) in its active form thiamin pyrophosphate (TPP) is an essential coenzyme that is synthesised by coupling of pyrimidine and thiazole moieties in bacteria. The previously detected thiamin-regulatory element, thi box was extended, resulting in a new, highly conserved RNA secondary structure, the THI element, which is widely distributed in eubacteria and also occurs in some archaea. The record is from RNAcentral. Lineage: Bacteria; Pseudomonadati; Bacteroidota; Sphingobacteriia; Sphingobacteriales; Sphingobacteriaceae.
GGCUUUAGGGGUAUUCUGAAUAAGAAUUGAGACAAACCCUUUGAACCUGAUUCGGUUUAUACCGACGUAGGGAAAAGCAUUCA